UACGUAGGGGCCUAGCGUUGUCCGGAAUUAUUGGGCGUAAAGGGCUCGUAGGCGGCCAACUAAGUCAGACGUGAAAUCCCUCGGCUUAACCGGGGAACUGCAUCUGAUACUGGAUGGCUUGAGUUCGGGAGAGGGAUGCGGAAUUCCAGGUGUAGCGGUGAAAUGCGUAGAUAUCUGGAGGAACACCGGUGGCGAAGGCGGCAUCCUGGACCGACACUGACGCUGAGGAGCGAAAGCCAGGGGAGCAAACGGG
This 253-nucleotide ribosomal RNA is filed under the name uncultured bacterium. RNAcentral describes it as "partial 16S ribosomal RNA". It matches the Rfam family "Bacterial small subunit ribosomal RNA", at positions 524 to 776 of the family's 1533-position model. The record is from RNAcentral.